CAAAUCCCUCGUUUGGAUGCCACAGCUGGAAUGGCGCUCCCACACCUUUCACUUUCUAUCCUCGGAGCAGGAAUCUUUUGAGGCUUGAGUCCUGCGGCGGCGAAGGGCGGGCGUGCGGGCGUCUGGGAGAGGCGGAGGGAGAGCGCGAGUCCCGGGCGGCGGGUGGAAAGCCUUCGGCACCACCUGUGUGGUAACCAGUGCAACAGGUAAACGCGAACGCAAUUUAUUACCAGGUGUAAGUGGCCUGGAUGGGGCGCCGUGCGAGGCCUUGUGUGCUCUGUCCUUAUCACACUCACCCAAGUGCGCGCGCCCCGACGCCGCUGCCAGGCGCAAGACUCGCCGGGGGUCCUGGAGGAUCCUACGGCCGCAGGAGAACUCUUCUACCCCGCCCUUCCCGAAUUUCAAGUAGGACCUAUCCUUCUCGCGUUAAUUUACCCCUUAUGAAUGACACGUGAUUAACAAUAACGACGGGAAAGGGAUAAGGAGAGCGAACGCAAAGGAUAAGAGCGAGGCCGGGAAGAGAUGUUGGCUGAGGUGCGGGUUAUGAGCAUGUGGAGUUUCGGGAGCAUAGUUGGCUCUGUCUCGCUCCGCUGUGGCCACGAUUCCGUCAGUCCGCCGUGUGGAGGCGCUUCCUCCACUUCUGCAGAUCCGUACUUAUAUAUAUUUACAUAUAAAGGCUUCAUAUAUUCAUACAAUAUUACCGUUUCAUCUCUCGUUCGUUGAAGACUCUGAAACUCGGACAAUGGCUCGUAGAUAUCGAAGUGUAAACAGGAUGAAGAAUGUGUUUAUCACCAUACACUGUAGCACGGAAGCUGUAUCAACAAUGACUUGAUAGAUUCCCUGUCCCCGAAGAUAUUAGAAUAUGGCGUGCAUUCCCGUAGAUUUAUGUAGCGGGAAGGCCAAGUCAGAGAAGAUGGAGAUCGAAACCUUGACUGUGUUUUUCUCUACUGGAAAUAUAGAUUCUUGAAUAUUUUGAACGGAACAGAUAAAAAGUGAAAGGUUAGAAAGGAAAAAAGUGAAUAGGAGGGGUAGAAAAUUAUUUUUUCUGUGAUUAAAUGAGUGAUUAAUUCAAUGUCUCCGAUUUAAUCUCAGUGGUGGUGCGGGGUUAUCAGUUAGUAAAUAGAGGAUGAGGGGAAAGAGAGUGGUGAUGACCCAGAUGAAAGAGGAGAGGAAAUCACACGAUGCCUGUUUCGUAAUUGCGGCUUUAAUACAGGUGAAGCAAGAGAGAAAAUCGGGUGAUGAGUAAUUCAGGUGUGUGGCUGAUGCGAAGGAAAUAGGAAGA
This is a long non-coding RNA of Penaeus monodon (black tiger shrimp), 1282 nucleotides long. RefSeq lists it as uncharacterized. The record is from RefSeq and is a predicted model, not a curated record. The transcript has 2 exons. NCBI's taxonomy places the organism in Eukaryota, Metazoa, Arthropoda, Malacostraca, Decapoda, Penaeidae.